CAUCAUCAACCAAGUUCAUCGUGGUGGAAACAUUAGUGGUAAAGAUUUGAACAGAGCUUCCACCUGCAGCGCUACCACCACCCAUCAUCGGCAUGAGUAGCGGCCCAAACGAAAGAGUAUGAACAGCAAGUAGUAUAUGAAAAAGAAGAAGAAGAGAUGAAGACGAAGAAGAGAUGAACGGUAUGAAAAUUUGGGAAUUUAGGGUUACAUAUAAUACUAGGGACCAACAUGGGUACAAAUUAGAAAUUAGCCAGCUCAGCUAGCCAUUGGACCCCUCCAGUGUGGCAAUCCGAGGCCACGUCAGCGCUCCGAUGAUGAGUCAUCACCUGAAAUAUGACCAGGGACCAGUUUGAGUGCUCGGAGCUCUAUCUGGAGGAAUACAAUGGAAAAAUCAGGAUCUUAGGGAUUAUUAUAGGUAUUUGCGUGAAUCUCAGGGACAACUAUAAGUAUUUACUCGUUAUCCUGCAUAAAGAAACCACACCCACGGUGAAGGACAACUCAUAUUCUCUAUUUUAUUUUCACUUGUAUUUCAGUAACAGUUAUAAAAAAAAAUCAUGUUUAACCUCUUCUUUAAUUCUUUAUUCUAUUAGUUUACCUUUUAAUUUGUUUUUUUUUUCAAUUUUUUAUUCUAUUUCUAAUUCAGGAUACACUUUUCUGUAUGAAACAAUUAUUAUUAGAAUAAAAAAAUAGUUAUUAUAACAGAAAUAAAAAGAUAGUAAAUAAAGUAAAAAAAAAUAGUUAUUAUGAUAGAAGUUAAAGUUGUCUAUCAUAUAAUGGGACUAUUUCAAUUCAAUCAUGUCGAAAAGAAUAAAAGAAAAUCCGAAUAUAAAUGUAUUAGAUAUUAAAUAAAAUAAAAUUACAUAAAUUUUUAUUUUUUACCGUAUAAAUAUUGUCCGAGCUAAAAAAUGAAGAAAUAAAAUUAAUAUUUUUUCUAAGAAUAAUUAUUUUUACAAUUAUAAAUACACAAUAAAAAAUUAGUGUACAUUAAAAUAGUACCAUAAUAAAAGAUAAAAUUAACAAACUAAUGGAAUAUAUAUACACAACUAACUAAUGUUAUCAUCAUUCAGUAUAUUAUUUAUGUAACCCCCUAACUAUCAAAAUGUCACGUUUCCAAUUGCGCCACUCUUGAUAGAUCGGGUGGUACGACGACUUUUAAAACAUUUAAUACUAAAAUAUGAGUCUGUUUAAAAUUUAAAACCGAAUAUUCAAAACUUCUAUCCAUACGUUACAGUACUGAUUACAAUACUUACAAAUAAUACAUAAAUAUAUAUACAUCAUACCAAUAUACAAACUUCACAUAUCAAAACAACUAUCCCUCUUGCAAAAAUUGCUAGAAAUAAAGGCGAGGAAAAAAUAAAAACUAAGAUAAUACAAAAUAACAUCGAAUAAACAGAAAAUGAAUAUAAUUCUUUUGAAGCUCUGUCGCCCAUAUCCUGAAAAGGGAAAAAUCUGUAGGAAAGUGAGAACAUCGUCCUCGAAAGGGUUCUCAUUAUAGGGUUACAGAAUUGCUAUAAUAAGAUACGAGAAUAAAACCGGUUUUAAAGUACAGUGAUUAAUAACCGCCUUAUGCUUCUUUUCACAACCAAAGAUUUAAUAUUCAAAAUCCGAAAUCCUUUCUAAAAGGGAAAGCUGUUAAUUUCUCAGAAAUCUAAAAGCUUUUUUAAAAGUUUUUCCUAGACAGCAUGAAUGACCAAACUGUUCCAAGCAUAGGUUCAUUAAGUCUAUGCUGAACCAGUUUAGUUUUUCAUACUUUUCUAAACCUAAAGCACAAACCAAACACAGCUUUCAGUCCAUCUCAUAAUCAACCACGGCCCUAGGCCCAAGCAACUCAAUCAACAACCAAUUCAUCACAAUCCAACCAAUUUUCAGUCACAAACACAAUUAAGAAGGUUCAAACACAAUCAAGCAGUUAUAUCAAGUAGAACAAUUAGCAAUUAAACAUAACUAUUCACAUAGGCAAACCAAUUACAAUAUGCACACCCGAUGCAUGCCUGUCCUACUGGCCAUGAACUCACGCGUCGGUUAUGUUGCCAGACCCGACUCGGAUAAGCGGGAUUAAACCACCAUCCUUAUCCGUAGGUUCCACAAGCAAGUGGGACUAAACCAUCAUCCUUGCCCGGAACACGCAAGGGGGAUUAAAUCACCGUCCUUGCCAAAUAAUUUAUCAAUGUAUGAGCGGGACAAAACCACCAUCCUCACUGCAGGCGGGACAAAACCACCAUCCCUGUAUAACGGUUUACGCACUAAGCAAGCAGGACUAUACCACCAUCCUUGCCAGGCCAGAAACCCUCAUCAUAUUCUCAGUAACACCCACAGUCAAUCAGACUCAAAAUCUUAUUUCAAAAUUCAUUCUUGGCCCACUUUCAAAUCACAAACGUAUUCAGUUCACAUCUUGCCAAGAACCACUUUUCUUAAGUAAAUUUUCUUUUCAAAACUUUCAAACAACUUCAUAACCAAGCCAAAUUCAAAAUCUCUUCUAAAAGACUCAAAUCACUCAUUUUCAAAUCAUUCGCUCCACCACUUUGAAAUCAAAAGUUAUUAAUUAACAACCUUGGCAAAGACUCAAGAUUUUAGAGAAGAAUAACCUGCCUCAUUUCUUAAAUUCCUUAGAAAUCCUCGGAAUCAUAGUUACUUAAGUUGAAAUCAAUUAAAAUGAAGCUUUAAAAUCAAAAUCAAAGCAUGUAAGUCAAAAGUUCCGAACCAGUUUCAAAACCAAAAUUAUUUAAGCCCAAAGACCAAUUUCUUUUCGUUCUUAAAUCGGAAACUUUCCCAAAGGCUCGGAUUUGUUUAGUUAAAAUUUAAAGAAUACUUCAAAAGCAAUGCGAAAUUAAGUAAUCAAAGUUCAAUUUCCUUCAAAAUCCGCUAAAACUCCUCCAAAGGUACUUCUUUGUCCAAACUUUAAAACAUAAGUCCCUCAUGUUUAAAUCAAACUUAAAACAUAAACUUUCCUUAAAAGAUUAAACUUGAAUCACCUAUUUCUUAAUAAAUCAAGAACCAAACAAUAGAACCUCUUGAAUCCAAUCCUUUUCUAAAUCGUAUUUUAAAAAAAAUCUGGAAUUUCAUAAAAAAAUUGGCAGCAUCUCUCCUAAAACUUGGACUUUGCCACCCGUUUCGGGUCCCAACCAAACCAUUACGCAACCCCCUCCACGGGUUCAAAACCAAAUUAAUUUAAAAUCAGACUAAUUUCGAAAAUUCAUAUCCUUUUCAUAAUUCAAGAAAUCAGAUCCAAACUCAAUUCAUUUUCAAUGAACCAAACUCGUUUCCGAAAUUGUAAGGAAAUAUUUCAGCAACCAACCAUAUAACCAAAUCAAACCACAAUCCAAUCAAACCACAAACACGUUCAUUCCAAAAUAGCUCAGCAAAACAUAAGGCUUAUACAACCACUAAAAGUACAUUUAUCACAUUAAUAUCCAUUUAUAACAACUCCAAAUCAUAAAAUUAAGUUCUUUGAAAAAGCCCCUACCUCACUAAACGUAGCUUCUCCGUUAGUAGUUUCCAGCACCUGUUUCCAUGGCAGCAACAGUGACGAGGUUAAACGGCCUCCUCUCCUUUCCGAUUUGGGAUUCCAGUAGCAGCAGCAAUCUCCAAACAGAGCCAGCAAUUACCUCCGGUAACGGCAUCGGCAACGUAACUUACUAUAACCACUUUAUUCAAUACGAAUAGUUUCAGCAACAAGUUUCAAGAUAGAAACGAAUUGGUAGAACAAGGAAGAAUCAGAAACAAGGUAAGGCUUACCAAAACAGUAGCGGUUCUAACGGUUCAAAACGGAGCCAGAGCAACAGCAACAGCAACUCCAGCAGCGGCAGUGGAGUUCUUGUCAGAUUUUAGAAACCAGAAGCAGAACUGGCUAGCCUCUCUUCCUCACCAGCAACGGCGGCUCCGACUAAACCAGCGACGGGGGCUCCGACCACACCAGCGACGAUGGUGGCGGCGACGCAUGAAACUCCUCCAGCAGCGGCAACGUGGGGAUUGACGACGACAAACCUUAGUAGCAGCGGCGGCAGAAGUGGCUUCGACAGCAGCACCAAGGCGCGGCAACGGCGCGGUGGCGACGCAGUAGAGGCUCCCUCCUCCACUGACUCUCGGGCGGCUCUUACUUCUUCCCUGAGCGGCGUCGACGAACAGAGGUGGCGGCUCCUUGGACGACAGCUGCGGCGCGACCCUCUCCCUAUCUUGUCUGUGCGACAUGACGGCACGGCGGCAGUGACGCCCGCUGGCGCCGCCCUCACUCUCCCCUCCCCUUCCUCCGCGGAUCCCUCUCUUCUCUUCCCUUUCUAUUUCGGCUGAAGCUGCAUGUGUUGGUGUGUGUAUGUGUUGUUUCUUUUUCUUUGUUUACUGGUGGGGGGAAAGGCGGCUUAGGGUUUCAUUAGGGAUAGGGGGAAAAUGUGGUUUAAUUAGGGUUAGGGUUUGUGUAUGGA
This 4418-nucleotide long non-coding RNA is filed under the name Arachis ipaensis. Its description in RNAcentral is "long non-coding RNA (AIPA_LNC002196)". Lineage: Eukaryota; Viridiplantae; Streptophyta; Magnoliopsida; Fabales; Fabaceae. The record is from RNAcentral.